This 253-nucleotide ribosomal RNA is filed under the name uncultured bacterium. RNAcentral's name for it is "partial 16S ribosomal RNA". It matches the Rfam family "Bacterial small subunit ribosomal RNA", at positions 524 to 776 of the family's 1533-position model. The record is from RNAcentral.
UACGUAGGGGGCAAGCGUUGUCCGGAUUCAUUGGGCGUAAAGAGCGUGUAGGCGGCCAGGUAGGUCGGUUGUGAAAACUGGAGGCUCAACCUUCAGAGGUCGACCGAAACCAUCUGGCUAGAGUCCGGGAGAGGAGAGUGGAAUUCCUGGUGUAGCGGUGAAAUGCGCAGAUAUCAGGAGGAACACCAAUGGCGAAGGCAGCUCGCUGGGACGUGAUUGACGCUGAGACGCGAAAGCGUGGGGAGCAAACAGG